AGGCUCGCGCGACGAAUAAUUAGUAUAACAUUACAGUAGUUAGCCGAACACACAAACAUCGCGCACGUUUUUAUGGGAAAAAAAAAAAAAAAAAGCCUAAAAUUAGUGGCCCGUACCUCCUCGUCGGCGUCGUCGUCAUCGUCGUGGACGUUUGCCAGCGAUUCGCGUCGGCUACAGUGUUCCGACGAGUACGCGAGUGCCAACGCAACUGGAAGAGCGCACCAUAAUAAAAGUCCGCGCGCCGUAAAGUCGUCAUCUUAUUAGAGGUUUGAUUUAAUGAAGUCCGUUUGCGCCGCGGUGAACUGUUUAUAAUCGCAUGCCG
Non-coding RNA from Cinara cedri, 322 nucleotides. NCBI's taxonomy places the organism in Eukaryota, Metazoa, Arthropoda, Insecta, Hemiptera, Aphididae. The record is from the annotation of a GenBank genome assembly.